AUUGAACGCUGGCGGCAGGCCUAACACAUGCAAGUCGAGCGGAUGAAGGGAGCUUGCUCCUGGAUUCAGCGGCGGACGGGUGAGUAAUGCCUAGGAAUCUGCCUGGUAGUGGGGGAUAACGUCCGGAAACGGGCGCUAAUACCGCAUACGUCCUGAGGGAGAAAGUGGGGGAUCUUCGGACCUCACGCUAUCAGAUGAGCCUAGGUCGGAUUAGCUAGUUGGUGGGGUAAAGGCCUACCAAGGCGACGAUCCGUAACUGGUCUGAGAGGAUGAUCAGUCACACUGGAACUGAGACACGGUCCAGACUCCUACGGGAGGCAGCAGUGGGGAAUAUUGGACAAUGGGCGAGAGCCUGAUCCAGCCAUGGCGCGUGUGUGAAGGAGGUCUUCGGAUUGUAAAGCACUUUAAGUUGGGAGGAAGGGCAGUAAGUUAAGACCUUGCUGUUUUGACGUUACCAACAGAAUAAGCACCGGCUAACUUCGUG
Molecule: ribosomal RNA, 484 nt
Filed under: uncultured bacterium
Lineage: Bacteria
Description: partial 16S ribosomal RNA
Rfam family: Bacterial small subunit ribosomal RNA
Source: RNAcentral